Molecule: ribosomal RNA, 440 nt
Filed under: uncultured bacterium
Lineage: Bacteria
Description: partial 16S ribosomal RNA
Rfam family: Bacterial small subunit ribosomal RNA
Source: RNAcentral
CCUACGGGAGGCAGCAGUGGGGAAUAUUGCACAAUGGGGGAAACCCUGAUGCAGCGACGCCGCGUGAGGGAAGAAGUAUUUCGGUAUGUAAAGCUCUAUCAGCAGGGAAGAAAGUGACAGUACCUGACCAAGAAGCCGCGGCUAACUACGUCACAGCAGCCGCGGUAAUACGGAGGGGGCAAGCGUUAUCCGGAGUUACUGGUUGUAAAGGGGGCGUAGACGGCAUGGUAAGACAGGUGUGAAAGCCCUGGGCCUAACCCCGGGAUUGCUUUGGAAACUGUGAAACUGGAGUACAGGAGAGGAAAGCGGAAUGCCGGGGGUAGGGGUGAAAUGCGUAGAUAGCAGGAGGAACACCAGUGGCGAAGGCGGCUUUCUGGACUGAAACUGACGCUGAGGCUCGAAAGCGUGGGGAGCAAACAGGAUUAGAUACCCGUGUAGUC